Molecule: ribosomal RNA, 430 nt
Filed under: uncultured bacterium
Lineage: Bacteria
Description: partial 16S ribosomal RNA
Rfam family: Bacterial small subunit ribosomal RNA
Source: RNAcentral
GUGGGGAAUAUUGCACAAUGGGCGCAAGCCUGAUGCAGCAACGCCGCGUGAGGGAUGACGGCCUUCGGGUUGUAAACCUCUUUUAGUAGGGAAGAAGCGUAAGUGACGGUACCUGCAGAAAAAGCACCGGCUAACUACGUGCCAGCAGCCGCGGUAAUACGUAGGGUGCAAGCGUUGUCCGGAAUUAUUGGGCGUAAAGAGCUCGUAGGCGGCUUGUCGCGUCUGCUGUGAAAACCCGAGGCUCAACCUCGGGCUUGCAGUGGGUACGGGCAGGCUAGAGUGCGGUAGGGGAGAUUGGAAUUCCUGGUGUAGCGGUGGAAUGCGCAGAUAUCAGGAGGAACACCGAUGGCGAAGGCAGAUCUCUGGGCCGUAACUGACGCUGAGGAGCGAAAGCAUGGGGAGCGAACAGGAUUAGAAACCCGGGUAGUCC